AUGAUGGGGACUCUAAAAGAACUGCCUACGCAAGUAGUGAGGAAGGUGGGGAUGACGUCAAAUCAGCACGGCCCUUAUGUCCAGGGCGACACACGUGCUACAAUGGCCGAUACAAAGGGCAGCUACCGGGCGACCGGAUGCGAAUCUUUAAAAUCGGUCUCAGUUCGGA
RNAcentral lists this ribosomal RNA (169 nucleotides) under uncultured bacterium. RNAcentral's name for it is "partial 16S ribosomal RNA". It matches the Rfam family "Bacterial small subunit ribosomal RNA", at positions 1128 to 1297 of the family's 1533-position model. The record is from RNAcentral.